Ceratosolen solmsi marchali is the source of this 1674-nucleotide RNA transcript. It is a transcript of the gene named COUP transcription factor 2, with no coding region annotated. NCBI's taxonomy places the organism in Eukaryota, Metazoa, Arthropoda, Insecta, Hymenoptera, Agaonidae. The record is from RefSeq and is a predicted model, not a curated record. The transcript is spliced from 6 exons.
UGACAAUUUACAUAUUUUCAAUCAUAUAAAUGUAAUGCAACGAAUCCGUAUUUAACGUCAUUAAUUAAUAGUGAUGAUGUACCUUGAAUAAUAACUCUAUAACUUGUUUCAUAAAAAUUUAUUUGCAUUAAUUUUAAUUCGGUAGCCACAUUGGAGCUGGGAUUUUCAGCGCGAAGCACCACCGCCUCCAUGGCGAUGGUAGCUCCGCCGCCCUCUUGGGCUUCGCGAGAUCCAGCAACUAUAUUAACCAGUGUUAGCAAUCAUACUGUUCAUUCUAAUCAGUUAGGAACAAAUAUACCAAUUACGCCAACACAUUUAACAUCAACUGCAGUCCCUGAAGAUAUUACGUGUCUUAUGAAUUCUGCGUCUAUUUUAACUCGUGAUCCCCUGCCUCAAAGUACUACGCCUGGAAGUCAAGGAAACAGUUCACAAUCUGGAAGUUCUCAAACAGACAAAUCAUCGAAUAUUGAAUGUGUAGUUUGUGGUGAUAAAAGUAGUGGAAAACAUUAUGGACAAUUUACUUGUGAAGGAUGCAAAAGUUUCUUUAAAAGAAGUGUCAGAAGAAAUCUAACGUAUUCUUGUAGAGGUAAUCGUAAUUGUCCUAUAGAUCAGCAUCACAGAAAUCAAUGUCAAUAUUGUCGACUUAAAAAGUGUCUCAAAAUGGGUAUGCGGCGAGAAGCUGUUCAAAGAGGGCGGGUUCCGCCGACACAACCUAAUCUUCCGGGAUUAUCAGGACAAUUUUCUCUAAUAAAUGGGGAUACAGUUUCAUGUUCUAAUAUAAAUGGACAUUCAUAUUUAUCUUCAUAUAUAAGUUUAUUAUUAAGAGCAGAACCAUAUGCAACUUCAAGAUAUAACCAAGGCAUGCAAUCAAAUAAUAUAAUGGGUAUUGAUAGUAUAUGUGAACUUGCAGCAAGACUAUUAUUUUCAGCUGUAGAAUGGGCAAGAAAUAUUCCAUUUUUUCCUGAUUUACAAGUCACCGAUCAAGUAGCGCUUUUAAGACUAGUAUGGAGUGAACUAUUUGUGUUAAAUGCAAGUCAGUGUUCGAUGCCACUUCAUGUAGCACCUCUUUUAGCAGCUGCAGGUCUACAUGCAUCACCGAUGGCAGCUGAUCGAGUAGUAGCUUUCAUGGAUCAUAUUAGGAUUUUUCAGGAACAAGUGGAAAAAUUAAAAGUCUUACAUGUAGAUUCAGCAGAAUAUAGUUGUCUAAAAGCAAUCGUUCUAUUUACUACAGAUUAUAACCGGAAAGGUGAACAGUAUAUUAAUAUAGUGAAUAUCGCUGAUGACCUUGAUAAUCCAAAAGAGAUGGCAGUAAAUUCAUACUACUGUAUUAGCGUAACGCAGAUGUACGAAACUCGCAUGAAAAUAAACUGGAGAAGAAACCGAAUAAGGAGUAAAUAAAUAAAGGAGUCUGUAUUAUAAAACGUCAUUAUUUGAUGAAAUAUCUACAUAAAAUUCUAUAAAGUUAAAAAUGGUAGUGCAGAAAACCAUGCAGAUAAUGUAUAUAACCAUAAAUACUUAGCAUACAGAUAAAUUAUUACUUAAAAAAGAAAUAUUCCAUGAUCAUCGUAAUUGAAACUUAAAAAAUGUUCAAUACGAUGCUUGUGGUUUGUCUGAUGUUGCUCACAUAGAAUCCCUUCAAGAAAAAUCUCAAUGUGCAUUAGAAGAAUAUUGUCG